CUUGCCUUGUGUUCUUUGCCUCUUUUGCAGUAGGGGAGGUAAUGGGAGGAUUGGUUUGCUGCGAUUUUUCGAUGAGAAAUGCUGUAAGUGGGCUAUAAAUUUCUGUCUGCUUGUUCCCUGGAUGUUGAAGGAGAAAAGGCAGGAAUGAUGGUUACAUCCACGUGGAGGAGAGUGAAAGAAGGAGGGAUCCCAGUGUCCUUUGAAGAUGAGGAGGAGAAAGAGAUGGAAGAAGGUGUAUAUACUCUGAUCUUCUCAUGCAUCAGUAGAAAAGUCUGGAAGAAUGUAAAACUGCACCAGGCAAAAGAAUGGACCUUGCAUUGAUUAUCAUGAUUUGAUAAUCAAGGAACUGGUUGUCUGAAGUCAAGUGGCACAUGAUCUGUGAUAGGGCAAUUUCAAUUAUUCAUGCUAUUGUAGGAGGCAUAUUACCAUGUCUGCUGCUGCUGCUUGUACAGUGUCAAUUCUCUGCUUCUGAUUUUGUUUCUUAGAAGUAACUUUGAAGAUGAAAGUCAAUUCACAGCAUACAAAACUGAAAUCAUGUGCAACCAGGGGGUUAUGCUCAUGCAAAAAAAAUCUUUGAAGAUACCAUUGAGGACUCUGAAAUGACAGCUCCUCAUACCAGGGUGUCUUAGAAACCCAUGUACAAUAAACCAGUGGACUGGAUAAUUUAUUCAGAUUGUGCUGCAGCCCAGUACUUAAAACAGAGGAUGGUGAUGUGUGGGUGGGUGUCUCAACUCUUGUGUCUCCAAGACCACGUUCUCUGCACGCUGUGCAGACCAUCUGAGAAGUCUGUCUUACUAGCAACUCCACACUCUGUCCCCAACAACCAAGCUGCUGAUCCUGAGAAACAGAACUGAGAAACAGGUGUAAACUGACAGGUACAAAUUAGAUGAGACCUUUGAAAUCUGUAAGAGUAAAGACAUCUUUGAACUUGGCAGUGUAUCUUAGGGAACCUAGUGCCCUGAUCAGUUCAGGACAAGGUGGAGCUACCUGCCUCUCAGCAGCCUUUUCCUCUUCUCUUCACUCUGUUAAAACACUGUAUAAGAAGGAAGCCAAAACAUAUUUUGAGAGGUCUCCAAUUCUGGGUAAGCAAGGGACAUGAUUGAAAAUCAUGAUAUAGAUAAAAAAUGCUAUUCCAUCAAGUUUUUCCUGUCCAUCUGUUCUCAUAUAAUCUGUUUUCUUAUAAUAAUAUUACAGCUAAGGAAUUGCAUUUGAAUGAUUCUCGGAAUUGAAGUAGUUGUCACUUCUUUGUGUGGUUUUCCUUCUGUUUCAUUAAAUCUAAUUUCUUGCUCUUACCCUGUCUUUAACAGCCCAACCUCUUAACUUUCCUCUGAGUACUCCUUCAGGCAUCCUUGCUUCUUCCCUUUGUUUUUCUUCUCCUGCUGGAA
Molecule: long non-coding RNA, 1385 nt
Organism: Hirundo rustica (Barn swallow)
Lineage: Eukaryota; Metazoa; Chordata; Aves; Passeriformes; Hirundinidae
Exons: 3
Source: RefSeq, a predicted model, not a curated record